UCUGGAGAGCACUUUGUCCCUUUUUAUAGAGGGAACUCACUUAGGUCUUAAGAAAAAUUUGUUUGGUCGUUAUAGAUCUGUUAGAUUGUUAGGCCAUUAGAAAUCUAUUAGACUAUUUGAGAUUUGUUAGGCCGUUUGGUUGUUGUAAUAGAAUGGUCAGCUGUGCAAAGAUGUAGGAUGGCCACCCAUAUAAUAAAUGAGUUGGAAUACAAUCGAAAGGUAGUUACGGAUGAGCUGAAUGAUAGUUGUCAGAUAACUAUCUAUACUUCUGAUAGCACGUCGGUAAUAGACCAAUAUGGAA
This 301-nucleotide long non-coding RNA is filed under the name Elaeis guineensis (African oil palm). RNAcentral's name for it is "long non-coding RNA (EGUI_LNC015861)". Lineage: Eukaryota; Viridiplantae; Streptophyta; Magnoliopsida; Arecales; Arecaceae. The record is from RNAcentral.